CUGAUAUAACUCAUGAGAAGUGAUGUAAUGAAUGCCACUCACUAGUUAUAUAAAUUUGGGUAAUAGCCCCUAGUCUCUGUUUCCUUCGUAGUGAUAAUACUUGCACUGUUUUCAUAGGAUCAGUUUAAAGAUUACAUGAAAUUAUGUAUGUAAAUUACUUAGCACAGUACAUAGCAGAUGAUAUGCAGUCAAAAGUUACUAUACAUAAUUGUUAUUUUAAAUAGAAGAAUGAAACGACCUAUAAUAUAUACUGCUGGAAUGUUUUCAAAAGAAGCAGAGAUAUAUGUAAACACUGGACUAAAAUAGUGGCACCUGUCACAACAUCCCCUAGAAGGCUUUUUUUGAGAAACAAAUGAGAUAAUGUAUGUUAUGUACCUGUCAUAAUGCCUGACACACAACAAGGACUAAGGAUGCUUAACUCUUAUUCUUCAUCUCUUGCUAUUAGAAUAACAUGAGAAUCCUCAAAGAAUGGAAGUCAAGGUUUGAUUGAACAUAUUUUGGGCUUUAUUAAUUAUAAAACCUCCCUACAGAGUAUUUUUUAACAUUUCACUGGUUCCAUACAAUAAACUUGUCUCUCCCUCUUAUGAAAAAUUGAUAUCUUCAUUCUCUAGUUUUUUCUUUUCUUUUCUUUUUUUUUUUGGUAUCGGGGAUCGAACUCGGGACCUUCUGCUUGUGCAGCAGGUGGAGAAACCACUGAGCUAAAUCCCCAGCCCUAUUCUCUAGUUUUGAAGAGGAAAUUAUGGCUUAUAAAGUUUUGGUGCUAUGUACAAGUUAUGCAAGGGGAGAGGAAGGAUUUGAACUCAGGUUUGUAGGACGCUAAGCCAGAAUUAUUUCCAUAUUACCUCUGAAGAGCUUCCUAUUGAGCCAGCAUGAUUGAAUUACAAAUUUCUGCCUGGCUAUUACCUUAAAUAAUUCAUUCAAACUGUCUUCAUGGUGGUAUUGAUACAGCUAAGUCCAUUAACUGGGUCCCCUCAGAGCUGUUCCAAAGUAGAAAAGCAAUGACCAACCAAGAAGCAAGGAGAGUAAAGGCCCUGUAAGAAUUUUUGUUUAAGAUUGCAGUUUGUUUAAAGAAGAAGAACUUUCUGGAGAUGCAGUAGCAGCAAAUCUAUCAGCUCCUUGCAGUGUCAUCAAUCACAGAAGCACAAGGAAAAAAAACCAGGCUGGACUCAGUACCCAUCCUUGUAAAUUAUUUUUCAGGAAAUCCUGCAGGCUUGGUUUUUUACCAGGAAACAAUUACAGUUUAAUAUAGAGGACCACAGAAUUCACAUGGAACUGAUUUCUAUUUCUUUUUCUUCUGCUUACACAAAGGAAAUGCAAUUUUUCAAGAAACAGCAGAGAAAUACACAAGCACUGGACUAAUAUAGUGGCGCCUGUCACUUACAACUGAGGAAUUGUGUCAUUUCUCAUUGCCAGUCCUGACAGCACCUCAAAUAAAGAGGAGUCUUAACAAAUUAUAUUCCUGAUAUCGCUUACUGAAAGGCGAUGGCUCCAUUUUAAAUAAUAAAGUGACAAUGCAAAGACUUGAAGCUAGAUAUGAAGAAAGUUUACCAUAGCUUAACUGUGCUGUGCAACUUUAAAAAUGAAGAAACUCCCAUGACAGUCAACUACAUGGAUGACGAUAUUAGAUAUAAAGUGAAAGAAAGAAGGAGAAAGAAGUGCCUACUCAUGGACAAAGGACCAUAAAGUCAUUGUCAGUGACACUUCUCAGUGAGUUUCUGGAAGAGGUAAGGAAAGGCUUUGGCAUUGAUGGAAGGAAUGGCUGCUGAACCACUGGGCAUGUAAUGAACAACUGGGAACUUGUCCUGCCUUCAUCCAUUUAUGGGAAAGAAAAGGCUAUAUGAUACUCAUUUUGCUUCCCAGAAGACCCAUUCCAACUCUACCAAUUCAGAUGAUCCCUUUUCCAAGUCUGGUAAGAGAUGGGAAAAAUUCAGUGUCAUUUCUUCUUCAGGUGAACACUGCAUUUGUUUAUAGGAAAGCUUUGAAAACACUUCCUGGGAUGAAAUUAAGGAAUGACAGGGUGACAGUUUGAUAAAAGACAGAUAACAACCUUCUGGAGAAGGAGGGGCUUUUAUUCAGGGCCUAACUUUUCUUUCUGAGAAAAACGUGAAAGAAAGUGUGAUGGUAAAGAUCAAAUUAGAGGCAAAGUGCUCUGCAUAAUAGAAAAAAGAAUUUGCCAUUCCCUUGAAGAAAUCCAGGAACCUGCUUCCUGUGGAGAAGAAAGGUAAGAGAGGAAAACUCUUGAGGUUCCUCCCUGCUUUUGGCCCUUGAAGAUUUCUUCACACUUAGCUUUGCCUUUAAAGAAAUGUUUGGAUCUUACCCACCGUUUCAAAGUGUUGGAGCAGGAAAGUUUUUUGUGUGAUAUCAUUUUGACAUACUACCAGCAACAGAAAUACUCAGUAUAUUCAAAUUUUGAGCAAAAGCUAUUCACUUUAUUGUAUAUACAAAUUAUAUUUAGCAACAGUCUAUUUUCCUUCCAUCAUCCAAAAUAUAAUUUUUAUGAUAACUGUUAGAGUUGUAAAUCCCAGUAGCUGAAGUAAUAUCAUUACUUUUCUAGAAGUGUGUGAAAUAUAUUAUUAAGCAAACUAGGAGCUGUCACAUUACCAAACCAGAUGCAUUCUUUGGACCAAGGAUCUCUGCAUUUUGACCAGAAAUUACACACAGAUUCUAAACUAUGAUAGUGUGGUCCUCCACUCAACUCCAGAAGAAGUGGAAAAAUAAAAUAAAGGCAAGUCUAGUAAAAUCAAUACAUACAAAGCAUGAUCACAAACUAUGGUGAAUGCUUAAAUUAAAAUUUUAAAAUAUUUAUUACAGUAAAAUUAUCACUACAGUAUCAUUAAUCUCCUCAAAAUAGUCCCUUCACUUUGAACUCACAUAUCCCAUGGCUCUUGCCAUUUUUCUGAAGCAUUUCUGGAAGUCUUCUUCAUGAGAGUUGUAAGGGGGCUGCCCAAGCAUCCUGAAUUGACUCAAAAUGUUUAGCACAUUUUUUGUCAAAUAAAAACAUUAUGAUAUGUGGUCAUCUGUCCUAUACACCAGAUCUGGCACUGUGAAAUAUCUGGCUCUUCCCCAAAAUAAAAGGAUCAUGAAAAAUAAGUCUUUAGUCAUUCAGGACUUUGAGGCAAACUUCACAGAGCAACUAAAAGACAUUCAGGAAAAAGGACUUCCAGAAGUGCUUCAGAAUGUGGCAAGAAGGAUGCGAUAAGUAAGUUCCAAGGGAAGGGAGUAUUUGAGGGGGAUUAAUAGAAAUGUGUCUAUCAGCAUAAUAAUUUUUUAUUUAAACAUUCAUUGCAGUUUUGAUCACACUCCCUAAAUCAAUAAAUAACAUUCCUACUUUGCUUCUUCUCACUUUGGGGAUAUUCAAAGUUGGUAAAGAAAUUUUUUUCACUGAGUUGUUAAGCUUUCAGACAAAAAGAACUAUGGGGGAAAUUUUAAAAUUGCUUACUAUGGGGAGUGUGACACCUCUCUUCUACUUCCUACUGUCUCCUAGACACCUUAGUGAAGUCUAUGUAGCUCACUAAUACCUCUGUGUGAAUGCAUUCUUCAUGUGAAAAUGAAAAGAUUUUGAAUUUAGUGUCUCAGUCAUUGCAAAAUGAAAACAGAGACAUAAUUAGAAAAUGAAAGUGUCAAAAUGGAAAACUAUCGUAUUUUCUUCUACAGCAACAUCAAGAUAGAGAUUUCACUUGACUUUUUGUUUUACUUACAAGAAGCAGUGGUAUAAAUAGCCUAUGUCAGCUAGUUUAAGUCAAAGGUCAGUGGAUAUUUUUUGUUAAGGGUCAGACAGUAAAUCUUUUAGGUCUGCAGACCAGAUAAACUGUGUUGGAACUACUCAAGUCUGCUGUAGUAGUGAGAAAGCAGCCAUGAGCAAUGUAAAAAUAAAUGAUAGUAGCUGUGUUCCAAUAAAACAUUAUUUAUAAAAAUAGGAGGUGGAGUGGAUUUGGCCUGUGGGCUUUUAGUUUGCUAAUCCUCAUAUAAAAAUGUAAAACUUUAAUUAUCU
This 3991-nucleotide long non-coding RNA is filed under the name Heterocephalus glaber (naked mole-rat). RNAcentral's name for it is "lncRNA (ENSHGLG00000041175.1)". Lineage: Eukaryota; Metazoa; Chordata; Mammalia; Rodentia; Bathyergidae. The record is from RNAcentral.